GCCGAGGUAGCAAAGUCCGGCCCAAUGCGCCGGCCUUGAGAGCCGGUGGUGCUUAUGCACCGCGGGAGUUCAAAUCUCCCCCUCGGCG
Molecule: transfer RNA, 88 nt
Filed under: Thermoplasmatales archaeon
Lineage: Archaea; Methanobacteriati; Thermoplasmatota; Thermoplasmata; Thermoplasmatales
Description: tRNA-Ser
Rfam family: tRNA
About the family: Transfer RNA (tRNA) molecules are approximately 80 nucleotides in length. Their secondary structure includes four short double-helical elements and three loops (D, anti-codon, and T loops).
Source: RNAcentral